UAUGGCAUCUGCUGACAGAGGUGCUGUUUACCUUCUCGUUGUAUUUAUAUGACACAAAAUACCAAAUGGUAUUUUAUCUCCAAUCACACACUCUUUCACACCAACAUAAAUUACACACAAACAAAGACACAAAACAUAAAACAUCUGGCCAGGUUUAUAGUCAGUCAAAAUUUCAUCUGUCCUCAUUAUUUUAUCAAAGUUUUACUGUAAUUUUAUCAAAUUUUACUGAAAUUUAUAUCAAAUUUACUGAAGCUUCAGAAAUUGUCCAAUGUUUUAUUAACCUAUUUUAAUGUGUCAAUUUAAUUAAUUUUAAACUCCAAUCUUCAGGAGCCUUUUCAAAUCCCGUGCACGUUUAAAAGAGACAUGUCAAACCUAUGUUAAAAUUUAACAGCAACCAAUAAUUUCCCGUUAUCUGGUCCCAGUUUAAUUUACUUAACUCUUAUCCAGGAUGUUGCGGAAGUAAGGCAGCGUUCGGAGUUUGUCGCGGCGUCAGGUCCGGCAACGCACCAUCUCGUGCAGCAACCGGUGUAUAAUGAGGACACUGCCGAACCCAGUGGCCAUCUUCACCACAAUAAAAACACCUAUCACUGCGUCUCCCGCCUCGUGCACCUCUUCCUCGCACACCCGACCAUGCGGGGGCUCCUCUUCUUCCCCCGCGCCAGCCUAGAACACCAGGCUGGCAGGUCGGAGCAGCAUAGAUGUGCGGACCAGAUUGCGUCACCGCAACAGGGACCCCAGCCAGAACCGGAAUUAAUUGAGCAGCAUCUGUUAGCAUAGUUUGAGCCUCCCUCUGUUUCUGUCUUGCAAGACGAAGCUUCUGUCUAGCUUCACCUAAUUGAAGCUGUAGUAAUUGUGUCUUAAAAUUUACUUGCUCCAUCUCCGCCUGAGGGGGAGAAGCUAAAGCAAGUGUGGGGCAGCUUAAUCGGUGUGUAAUAUGAGCAAUACCUGGGGAAACCGCAGAAGGAGGCAGAGAAACACAAGGUUUUCCACGCAGGUCCUGAGCUGCCAUAGGAAAACUACCAGCACUGAUAAGGUCCUCCUGUUUGCGGACCGCAUUUUCCAAUUCAUCGGCCUUCACAUUAAGCGAAUCCAGACCAAGCUGUUGAUCAUAUAUAUUAAUUAAGUCAGCAAUCUGGUCCCGCAGACUUAUCCGCGGAGCCAGAUUACCUGGACGGUCUAUAGCAUCGUUUGUCAACUCAGUGUCCAUAAUAACUGCACAAUAAAACGCAGCAAAAGCAACGCACAUUCACGCAAACAGCGCUUUUCAAACACAGCGUUCCGUACAGAGCCAGUAACGCAUACACACGCACAGACACACACAGAGACACACAUACACACCCAGAGCUCUGGAGAACAAACAGCGCACUUCCACGGCAGCCGGCAUAGAAAUCAGCACACACAAAGAAAUACAGGGAACACAAACACGGUUUCAGACGAACGUAAAAGACAGACGGGGAAAAAAUAAAAAUAAAAUGCCGGC
This is a long non-coding RNA of Xiphophorus couchianus (Monterrey platyfish), 1480 nucleotides long. RefSeq lists it as uncharacterized. NCBI's taxonomy places the organism in Eukaryota, Metazoa, Chordata, Actinopteri, Cyprinodontiformes, Poeciliidae. The record is from RefSeq and is a predicted model, not a curated record. The transcript has 2 exons.